ACGUAGGGUGCAGGCGUUAAUCGGAAUUACUGGGCGUAAAGCGUGCGCAGGCGGUUAUGCAAGACAGAUGUGAAAUCCCCGGGCUUAACCUGGGAACUGCAUUUGUGACUGCAUAGCUAGAGUACGGUAGAGGGGGAUGGAAUUCCGCGUGUAGCAGUGAAAUGCGUAGAUAUGCGGAGGAACACCGAUGGCGAAGGCAAUCCCCUGGGCCUGCACUGACGCUCAUGCACGAAAGCGUGGGGAGCAAACAGGAUUAGAUACCCCGGUAGUCCACGCCCUAAACGAUGUCAACUGGUUGUUGGGAAGGUUCCUUCUCAGUAACGUAGCUAACGCGUGAAGUUGACCGCCUGGGGAGUACGGCCGCAAGGUUG
RNAcentral lists this ribosomal RNA (371 nucleotides) under uncultured bacterium. Its description in RNAcentral is "bacterial SSU rRNA". It matches the Rfam family "Bacterial small subunit ribosomal RNA", at positions 525 to 896 of the family's 1533-position model. The record is from RNAcentral.